Molecule: long non-coding RNA, 3614 nt
Organism: Accipiter nisus (Eurasian sparrowhawk)
Lineage: Eukaryota; Metazoa; Chordata; Aves; Accipitriformes; Accipitridae
Source: Ensembl
AGCCUACUGAGGAAGCUACAGUUGCUUCUACUGUUAUCAACAGGAAGACAGCAUUGAUUACCAAGACAGAAAAAGAGACAUUGCCAUUUCAAAACCCCCAAAUAUCUCUCAUAUUUUGCUACUGGCGAUGGAAGAUGCAAUCUUUCUGACCCUUUCAGACUGAAGCUGAACUAGGGUAUGUGGAAAUUUCUGCACAGGUGAUGUCUGCACCACUGAAAUCUCUGACUGAGCAUUUUGAAAAGCUAGAACUAAGCCGACAAAGAAGAAAGCCAAAAAACCCCUCCCUCUCCUACAGCCACAGACUCCUUCCCGGAGUCCUGGCUCUGCUGCUUGAACUAACUUUCAGUGGAAGUCCUGGCUCUGCUGCUUGAAAUAGCUCUCAGCUUUACGUAAGGAGCGGUAUACUAAUUCAGAUAAACUGAAUAUAUUUUGGUUCCCUGCUAAGCAGGUAGUAAAUUGCUUCUCUGUAGAAGUGACCGUGUCCUGUUUUAUAUGUCACGCAUUUAUAUUUGUUAUUCAUAGUUGUUUAAAAAUCAGUCUUGAAAGAAGAUUUUAGGAAGAGUUCCAGAGGAGUAACUCAUGGAAAGAUAGAUGUGAAUGAAAAUGAAGUGUUUUGUUCCAAGGUAUUUCUUCAUAACACAGGGUAUGUCCGAUGGUUUGUUGAAUAUCCCGCAAGCCCAGUUUUAGGGAAAAACGUGAAGCUAUGUUCAGGAAAUCAAGUUUUAAUUUUUGGGGGAGUUUUCAGUAGACCAUGGCCCACAGCACAAUGAGAAAAAUGGCACAAUAAUGUAUAAUUUGCUGUCCCUGAAUGAUGACAAAAGGCUUAACAUUGUCCCAGCAAAAAGUUCGACCUGGAAAAGAGUGAACAUAAAACACAUUAUCCCUGAUCCGUACACUCUGGGCUGGGGGAGGCAGCAAGAGGGAAUACAUUUUAUCACCUUAAUUCAAGGGAGCACAAGUACUGCAGAGCUCAAGCCCAGGAGGCUGGCACAGGAGCAGGAAAGGAAAAUGGAUCCUCUAGAAAAACAGGUGAAAGAGGGAAAAUCCAGAAGAAAGAAAUCCCACAGUGUGAUUCACCAUAUGGGAACUGCAGCCAAGCACACAAACCUGGGGCUGUUGGGGAAGGCCAAGUACAAGUUCCUGUCUGCAGCUUUCUACAGCUGCGGUGCUGUGAAGGUCCCCAAGGCGCAGGAUGCAGUGGAGGAUCUACCCAUCCCUUGGAAGCACAAGGCAGAAAGCAAAACGAGAGCUCCUGACAGGUACCUGCACCGCUUCCAAAGCUUGUGCUGAGUUUAUAAAGCUAUGAAGAAAAUCCCUUGAUACUGAAAUUCUAAAAACUCUCCAGAUACUUGGACAUCAAUCAACUGUUUUAAACCGGACAGUGUAAACAGCAAAGGGAGCUAAACUACAAAAAUGUAAGAAAACAGAUUGUUCAGAAAAGCGUUACAUUUGUACUGAAGUAAUAUGACAUUUUAAAUCAAAGGUUAUGGAUUUUGAUAUCAGCAUAUAAUUAUAUUAUAAAAGUAAUUUUAAGAAAUUCCAAUCCUACCAGACAGAAAUACCAAUAGUGGGGUUACAUUGAUGAGCUACAUUUUUGUUUUAGCAUUUCAUGCUUAAAACACGUGCCCGUUCUGAGUUCUACUUAAAUACUUAAAGUCUUAAAAUAUUUUAUCUAGUUGGAAGAACUGCAAACAACAGUUGAGGUAACUGUCUGCAAUCUAAGGCAUUACUGAACUCUUGAUGGAAAUCUGCAGGAACGUGCUGUGCUGGCAUCUCUGAAACGCCUUAAGGGAAAGGCCUGAAGGUGCAGCCCUGCGGUCCUGGGGGAGCAUGGGAGUCGGGGAGCUGCUGGGGUAUGGAUGUGCGCGGUACCCGGUGCACUGCUGGGGACUGGGAACGGUGACGACGAGAGCGUUCGGAAGUGGCUUGGAUCCGUUUCAUCGCUGUUUACUCAGGCUGUGCUUUUGCACGUGCUGUGUGGUGUGUAUGUGUCUGGAAUUUCAGUUCCAUUUCCCAUUAAUUAGACUUUCUUAAUCAUGAUUUUUUUAAUUGAAAAGCUAACUGUACAGGACAGGUACACGUGUAAAUAAGGGAUUAUGCUUAUGUACAUGUUAAUAUUUAUAUGUAAAAAGAUAUGUACAUAGGAAAGAAAAAAAUGUCUCCAACAAUGUUUUCAAAACUGGUUUUCUUACAAAUGCACAGACAGGAAAGUUACAUUAAUGUGCUCCUUAAUUUCAACAUAAGGGUCUCCACUCAAUUUUCAGUCACUUUGCAUUUGAUCCCACUGGCAUUUUGUACAAUGAGUUUGUAUGAUGAGUCCUUGACCGUGGCACGGAGCCGUUCUGCAGACAGUGCCACCCUUCACCUGUGAGACGAGCUGUGUCAGAUCUUGUUUGCUGUCUUCUCACCUCUGGGUCGUGCGCAUCUUUUAAAAACACAGUCUCAAAGCCACAGGACCGUGGCAGGGGUGGGCAUCACCCUCAUCUGGGGCUUUUUCCUGCAGCCCCUCUGUCCCUCGGUGCAGGUGUAACACAGCAGCGGAAAGGUGGGGUUUGCAGCCCGGGGAGGGACCCCAGCCGAUCUCAGGCUGGUGAGCGCUGGCUCCUUGGGCCAGCAGCCCUAAGUCAGGGGCUGCCAGUCACUCCAGUUUCUCACCCGUAAGCAUCUUUUAUAAAUUCCUCAGAUGUCCUUCAAAUAACGACACGACAGGGGCCAGAUAAACCAAGUGCAUCACGAGGUGCGUUACUGAUGCGGCACGAUCGCUACGUUUCGCCUGCGAGAAACGUUAGCUCUGUGUGUGUGUGUCGGCACGUUAGCUCAGACAGGCAGAGUUUCUGAAGGAGCGCCGAAGCGGUCAGGACGCUCCCUGCCCGUGUCCCGCAGCCGUGGUACGGGCCAGCUGCCACCUGCGCAGAGCAACACGUCUAAACUGAAAUCCAUUGGAACUGCAGCUUGCCUUGUCAACAGCCGCGCGUUGCGUGUUUCAGGCCUGUACUUCUCACUCAAGCUGUUGGAGGACUGUGGCUAUUCUUUAAAGUAUUCUGCUUUAGUAAUAUCUGUAGCCUUCAGUGUAUCCUCGAGUGCCUUACACAGCUUGGGAACAAAACUCCUGACCGUGAAGAGAAAAUGGCCCCGGGGGUCCCCCUGGGGGGACCGAGGCCAGCUCCCUUUGCACCCCGAAUGCCACCACCACCUCGCGACGGGCAGCGGGCGUUAGCACAGAAAUGGAUUUAGUUUAGACUCAGGAAAUCGUAUUGUGAAUAUGUGUUUAAAACCCUGUACUUACGUAUUGUACAUUUUAUAAAAAGGAACUAUUGUAAACUUAUGCAAAACGUAAACCAGAGAAAAUGUUUUUUUCCAAUGGCCAGCGUGCCGUGACUUGUGCGCUCUAAUAUAACCCUGACGACUGUACCCUAAAUACGUAAUGUUUGGUUCAGUGCUGAAACAGUAAUUGACAGGCCUAAAAUAGGGCUGGAUUGAUCAAUUACAGAAUUUUACACAUAUUUUUGUAUUGUGAUUCAUAUGAUAUAUAUAUCGAGAGACUUUCUAUUCAUUUGUAAAAUACAUAAAAUAUUGUAAGCUUUUAAUAAAAAGAUCUGUUUUAAACCUUCGAA